CUACGGGGGGCACCAGUGGGGAAUAUUGCACAAUGGAGGAAACUCUGAUGCAGCAACGCCGCGUGGAGGAUGACACUUUUCGGAGCGUAAACUCCUUUUAUAUAGGAAGAUAAUGACGGUACUAUAUGAAUAAGCACCGGCUAACUCCGUGCCAGCAGCCGCGGUAAUACGGAGGGUGCAAGCGUUACUCGGAAUCACUGGGCGUAAAGGGCGUGUAGGCGGGUUAAUAAGUCAGAAGUGAAAUCCUAUGGCUCAACCAUAGAACUGCUUUUGAAACUGUCAACCUAGAGUGUGGGAGAGGUAGAUGGAAUUUCUGGUGUAGGGGUAAAAUCCGUAGAGAUCAGAAGGAAUACCGAUUGCGAAGGCGAUCUACUGGAACAUAACUGACGCUGAGACGCGAAAGCGUGGGGAGCAAACAGGAUUAGAUACCCUAGUAGUC
RNAcentral lists this ribosomal RNA (439 nucleotides) under uncultured bacterium. Its description in RNAcentral is "partial 16S ribosomal RNA". It matches the Rfam family "Bacterial small subunit ribosomal RNA", at positions 339 to 795 of the family's 1533-position model. The record is from RNAcentral.